ACUGUCCUCUGUGACUCCGUGUAGACAGCGACACGGCGGUGUAGCCGGAGCUACGUGUCGGCGGGCGAGUGGGAAGCCUUCAAGCAGGACAUGCUGCGCGAGAUGUGAGCACAGCUCACGCAGAUCAAGCGAGAGAUACUCGACGCCAUGAAAGCGGAAUUCGCGCGCAGGUAAAGCACGCCACGACGCAUCGAGUGUUAACUAGUCCAUCGCAGCCGCAUACUGGUGAACAUGUUUUAUUCUCCUACUCUUCAAGAACAAGAAAAAACUUAAAUCGGGGGCGAGCUGUGCCUUGAGAAAAUUCUAUACCUCCUCAUUUAGAACAAGAAAAAACACAAUUCGGGGGCAAGCUAUGUCUUUGGGCAAU
Long non-coding RNA from Leguminivora glycinivorella, 367 nucleotides. RefSeq lists it as uncharacterized. Lineage: Eukaryota; Metazoa; Arthropoda; Insecta; Lepidoptera; Tortricidae. The transcript has 2 exons. The record is from RefSeq and is a predicted model, not a curated record.